UGGCUCAGAUGGUAAAGCGUCUGUCUACAAUGCAGGAGACCCAGGUUCAAUCCCUGG
Molecule: transfer RNA, 57 nt
Filed under: Bos taurus (domestic cattle)
Lineage: Eukaryota; Metazoa; Chordata; Mammalia; Artiodactyla; Bovidae
Also listed under: 4 other names
Rfam family: tRNA
About the family: Transfer RNA (tRNA) molecules are approximately 80 nucleotides in length.
Source: Rfam by way of RNAcentral